CUGAAUCCGCCCUGUGUCGGCUGGCGUGGCUGUAGACCGACGUGACUGGCGUCUCCAGGUGUCUGCGUAAUCCGGUUGCCCCGCGGUUGUACGCGUAGCUUACGCUUCCCCUGGCGGCCGAGUCGAAGUGUGCCGCACUGCACUGUGGGUUAACGCAGCUUUGUUUUGUUGAGGAGAGGACCUGUGGGGCCGAUGGUGGUGUCCCGUCACUGAUCCUUUACUGUACAGCACUUGGGUGUGAUUUGGAUGGUGUGUGGUAUUCACGUGUGUUGUGUAGCAUCAGGACCCUUCCUCCUCCAUUAAUUCCCUGAGCUGUGGUCCCCUCAGCUGCCCCCCACAUUAAAGCACCUACAGCAUCUUGUAUAUUGGUACUGUAGUUGACCAAAGUGAUAUCGAUUACAGGGCUAACCAUAUUUUAA
Molecule: long non-coding RNA, 419 nt
Organism: Seriola dumerili (greater amberjack)
Lineage: Eukaryota; Metazoa; Chordata; Actinopteri; Carangiformes; Carangidae
Exons: 3
Source: RefSeq, a predicted model, not a curated record